Homarus americanus (American lobster) is the source of this 1780-nucleotide RNA transcript. RefSeq lists it as uncharacterized. The record is from RefSeq and is a predicted model, not a curated record. Lineage: Eukaryota; Metazoa; Arthropoda; Malacostraca; Decapoda; Nephropidae. The transcript has 5 exons.
CUUCAAAUUUUCCGCCGUCAAACGUAUUACUAGAGCUUAUCGUAUAAUGACUUAUCAGUAACCGCCAGGGAGUCAGGGACGUCGCCAUCACUUAGGCCAGUGUUGUGGCAUUCUGGACAUCAGAUUUUUGAACGAGUCAAAAAUUGCAUUCAUCCUAAAAUCCCAUACAAGCCUGACACUACAGUAAUGUUUAGAUAAGGGAGAACAAGUUUACCCCGACAGCAUAAACAGACACCCUUUACCAGUUGUAUACAUAGAGAUACAUGGCCCAAGGAAUGAAAUCUCUUAUAUUUGUACUGUACUCAAUGCUAAGGCAGAUGUCAGCGACUAAUAGCACUCACCCAUAGACGCCUCACACAGCUCAGGUACCAAGUGAACAAGAUUCCUCUACAACUUUGUGUUAAGCAGUAAUCUGGGCUGUUUGUGUCAAGUGGUUCAGCUGAGGUUUACUGCAUUUACUAUGGUAUACUGAGAGAAGGGUUGGCUCAUGUAGCAGUAGUCACUUGGCUUAAGACUGCUGUGUGUGGUGAUGUGAAGACAAGUCAUCAUUUGCUCUGACAAACAACACAGCCAGCAGGUGACCCUUGUGUAUGUAGACAAUCAUGUAUGCAGACUUAAGGGUUACUCUCCCAGGUUUCAAAUCCUUGGUACCAGAUAUCCAUGAUCUUCAAGUUCUGACUAUUUUUGACCUUCUUCAAGGCAGUAUUAACACCAACCGGAUAACCUGUGAUAAACAAGGCCUGUGGAGUUCAGAUGAAUUGAACCGUCUCAGAAUAGAUUUCACACGAGUGGACCGCUUAUACCAUGCCAAAUUUGACCGAGGAGCACCACUUCAGAGUACCAUAGAUGAAGGUAAAGCAACGGCAGCACAGUUGGAGGUCGUAGUGCGCAUGCAUUAUAAUGGUACGUUCAUCUUUGCAGAACUGGUGCUUGACUGUGUUAUUCCUUGUAUGCCGAUAUCUUGGGAAAACAAAGGCACACUGUUUGUCUCUUACAGUGCUAACAUUUUCUUCAACACAAUCCAAACUGUCACAGACAAGAGAUUGUUUUAUGAAUCACUUAUGGAAGACAAUUACAACUUCCCAUGGAUAUAUGAUGACACUUUAAUAUUAAAGGCAGAGCACACAUUUCCCUCCUUGAAGUACCUCUGCAACAAGGCCCUCACUGAAGACAGCAAGAGAGUCGACUACUACGUGAAAGUUUUGCCAAGUGUACUCGGGAAGAGUUUGUCAGACUUUUCCGAUAUUGCCAAAGCGAGACACAUCUACAACAUCAUGGUUUAUCCAGCAGCUCGUCAUUAUCUUGCAUUCGAGGACAAUAAUUUGUACUGGAGUGACGCAAACUCAUAUGAAUCUUUUGAGAAUUUUUUCCGUUGGAUCGGAAUGUGAGUGAGAAAAUGCUGGAUAGGUAUUUCCUCAUUCUAUAAAGGAAUGUUGUUGGGCCAUGCAGUUUAUAAUAUACAGUAACUUGGUAUUUGUAAACUACACAGAAAACUAGAUAGAAUCUUUUCUGUGAAUUAAUAGAUCAUCUCAUAUUUAGUUCAGUCAUACAAAAUUUAGUUUAAUUAACCACUUCACUACAAGGAUGCCACAUUUAAGAUUUUAUUUGGCUAAUGCCAGACAAUUUUAUUCCACUGAGAGACCUUAAUCUAUACACAGAGAUUUAAGAAGUUUUUUGUAAUUACGGAAUACAACAAACACAUAUAUUAUUGCGAAUGUAUUUUAUCUACAGUACUUAUUUUGGCACAUUGUUAUAUAUUAAUAAACUUCAUUUUGUUUUA